Molecule: ribosomal RNA, 429 nt
Filed under: bacterium
Lineage: Bacteria
Description: partial 16S ribosomal RNA
Rfam family: Bacterial small subunit ribosomal RNA
Source: RNAcentral
UAGGGAAUCUUCGGCAAUGGGGGCAACCCUGACCGAGCAACGCCGCGUGAGUGAAGAAGGUUUUCGGAUCGUAAAGCUCUGUUGUAAGAGAAGAACGUGUGUGAGAGUGGAAAGUUCACACAGUGACGGUAACUUACCAGAAAGGGACGGCUAACUACGUGCCAGCAGCCGCGGUAAUACGUAGGUCCCGAGCGUUGUCCGGAUUUAUUGGGCGUAAAGCGAGCGCAGGCGGUUUAAUAAGUCUGAAGUUAAAGGCAGUGGCUUAACCAUUGGUCGCUUUGGAAACUGUUAAACUUGAGUGCAGAAGGGGAGAGUGGAAUUCCAUGUGUAGCGGCGAAAUGCGUAGAUAUAUGGAGGAACACCGGUGGCGAAAGCGGCUCUCUGGUCUGUAACUGACGCUGAGGCUCGAAAGCGUGGGGAGCAAACAGG